UAUGAACAAGAGAUAGAAUAGGAAACGCAUAUCAAAGUUGGUAUACCCCAUGAUAUUAGCAAUUAAAGAGUCCAACAGAUUUGGUAAAUCAAGGAUAUAAUAAGAGUCCAAAUAAGUUGUCAUACAAGAUAAGUCCAGUUGAAUUCUAUAAAGAAUCCCACAAUAUUAGGAGUCAUAAAACUAUAUAUAUCCAAACUUUAUUAAAGGAGAUUGAUA
Molecule: long non-coding RNA, 216 nt
Filed under: Panax ginseng (ginseng)
Lineage: Eukaryota; Viridiplantae; Streptophyta; Magnoliopsida; Apiales; Araliaceae
Description: long non-coding RNA (PGIN_LNC006492)
Source: RNAcentral